Notothenia coriiceps (black rockcod) is the source of this 225-nucleotide long non-coding RNA. RefSeq lists it as uncharacterized. The record is from RefSeq and is a predicted model, not a curated record. The transcript has 2 exons. NCBI's taxonomy places the organism in Eukaryota, Metazoa, Chordata, Actinopteri, Perciformes, Nototheniidae.
CAUUUAGGCAAACAUGGGGGUUGAAGGCAGGGUAACCCAUGCCCCAACCCCAAAAAAAAAUGGGAAAAUCUGAAAACCAAGUACAAGGAAUGCAAGUGUCCCACCUCAGGACAAGGCACUGAGGACGGGAAACUGACGGCAGCGACUUGGCCCUGGUUUGUCCUAAUGGAUGAGGCAUUAGGGCAGUCUGCGGCGGUCUCUUCCCCCUGCCUGAUUGCCUCCAUC